GCAAACUUGGUCAUUUAGAGGAAGUAAAAGUCGUAACAAGGUUUCCGUAGGUGAACCUGCGGAAGGAUCAUUAGUGAAUAAACAAGUGCUGGCUGUGCUGGUCAUUCGUGGCAUGUGCACGUCAGCUCGUUUCAUUCUAUCUUUCCACCUGUGCACUUUGUGUAGUCUAUUGUAUUGCUGCUUUUCAGGCAUUAGUCUGGUUGAGAGGUUGCUUGUUCCCUUGGAUCAGGCUCUUCUUGGGCAUGCAGUAGGCUAUGUUCAUUACCAACACCAUAGAAAUGUUAUAGAAUGUGUAUUAGGCUUUUCAGCCUUUAAAUCAUAAUACAACUUUCAACAACGGAUCUCUUGGCUCUCGCAUCGAUGAAGAACGCAGC
Molecule: unclassified non-coding RNA, 374 nt
Filed under: uncultured fungus
Lineage: Eukaryota; Fungi
Description: partial contains small subunit ribosomal RNA, internal transcribed spacer 1, and 5.8S ribosomal RNA
Rfam family: Eukaryotic small subunit ribosomal RNA (bases 1-73)
Source: RNAcentral